Molecule: long non-coding RNA, 765 nt
Filed under: Trifolium pratense (red clover)
Lineage: Eukaryota; Viridiplantae; Streptophyta; Magnoliopsida; Fabales; Fabaceae
Description: long non-coding RNA (TPRA_LNC014161)
Source: RNAcentral
UGAAGUACAAAAUACACAGCACAAUGCCACAGUCCUUAUAAUGUACAUAGCAGCUGUCAUACUAACCUUGAGAGUAACUAAUUAAACAAACAUGAGUAAACAUUGGAUUAUCUUUUCAAUAAAUAAUGUCUUUAUUAGAGUGGCUAGAUACUAUCUAUCUAUAAUCUAUGUCUAAAGUCUAAACUCUAUUAUAGCACAAAAUAUAACCAUAUAUAAGAGAAAUUAUUUAUUUAUUUAUAUAUAUAGAUACUAAACAUCAUAUCAUUUCUUAAAUAUUGUUAUGUUUAAAAUAGGAGUGAGUAAACAUGAGUAAAAUGAAUUAAUCUAAAGAAUUAAACAGUGUCGGUUAUGGAAACCCAUUUUCUCUGUGUUUCUUUCCUGCGUCUCCAAGGGACCACUUGCUUGAAGCUACCAUAAAUGCUUGCCUGCAAAUAUCAAAAUUAUUAUUACAUCAUAUAAGAUUUAAUCCAUUUCAACCUAACUAGUUAAAUCAGUCAUAUUCUUGUCCAAUUUUUUUGGUAGAAUAUCAUAUUCUUGAGUAUAGGCAUAAUGAUAAGAAAAUGAUAUUUCAUCACUAAAUGGUGUUGUAAGGUACUAGUAUAUGCAAAUAUUUUAUAUGUGGUAUCUACUUUAAAUAUUUCAGUAAAUAUUACAAUCUUAGGUUAGUUUUUCUUCUUGCCAGAACUUGAAUCCUGAACCUCCAAUUUUUUAAUCCUUAGUUUAAUUAGUUUAAUCAGUUGAGUUACUCUUCCUAUCCAAAAAAUC